This is a long non-coding RNA of Amaranthus tricolor (Joseph's coat), 1697 nucleotides long. RefSeq lists it as uncharacterized. The transcript is spliced from 3 exons. Lineage: Eukaryota; Viridiplantae; Streptophyta; Magnoliopsida; Caryophyllales; Amaranthaceae. The record is from RefSeq and is a predicted model, not a curated record.
AUACUAAUGUUCACUUUUCCCUCUUGCCUUGCCUAACCCAGAUUCAAUAAACAAACUUUUCUCUGAGUUCUUCCUUCAAAGAACAAGCAAUGGCGGCUACUUCAUAGUACAUAUCUUUUUCCCUUCUGAUUUUCGAACAAACAGAUUUCAGCACACAUUCCUUUGAGUUUUCGCAACAUCCUUCUUAUUUAUUCUCUGAAUUUGCGAAAGAUAGACUAAUCACCAUUGUUACUUGAAGUUCUAAAAUUAAGCAACAAUGCCGGCCAUCGUCUUCCUUCGCUCGAUGCAACAACCGAGUACAACAAUGGCUUGUACUCCUUGUCUUUGAUUUUCGAAGAAACUGGGUUUUUCUUCCUCUGAUUUCGAAAAUAACAAACAAAAUAAUAAUAAUAAUAAUAAUAAUAACCAAUUAGGUAUAUUCUUCCUCUUUGAUUUUCAAUGUAUUAUUGCAGCAUUCAUCCCUAUUUCCUCUUAAUUCGAACAGAUUUCAGUACUUUCUUCCCUACUCGUUCUAUGAUGAUGAUUCAAAGAACCAAACAACCAUGGAUUCCCUCUUGCGCUAAUUUCGCAAGCAAGCAUCAGUUUCUUUAAACAGCAACAAGCCGCAACCUUUUUUGUUUUCUCACUCUUUUGGCGCCUGGUUUCGUGAAGAAAAGAAGGCGACAUCAUCGAGGAACCCUUCUAGUGAUCGCGAAGAACCAGACUUGGCUUCUUGAAUCGUCUUUGGCUUGCGAGCUGGUUAUUGACGGAGUUGAGGAACAUCGUUCCCUGCUCUCUGUUUUUGAAGCGAGUUGUCAUUCAGAUAUUGACUAGCUUCACCCGAGAGCGACAUAACCAUAGAGCUAUGGGGCACCUCUCAAACUAGACUCUCUAGGAAACUGAUGUUACUUUUAAAUCUUUGUUUGGAAAUUACUGUGUUUUGUUGUUUUGGAUUGUUACUUCUCAUUCAGUUUAAUUUGGCCUUCUGUUGUUUCCAAUUUUUAGUUUGUUUACAAAUCCGAUCCAGUCGGGAAUGAUGGAUUAGCGGAGUUGAUUAGAGUUUCCAAGGAUGUUAUAAUGAGUUGAGCACGUUAGAGUUUUGUACUUUUGUACUAAACUUUGGUAAUAUAUUAGUCUAGACUGUAUUGGUUAUGUUGGACUUUUAUAGAGACUUUUAUGAUUACUUUAUGUAUUAGAUAGAUGUUUGGAUUGAAAAUUAGCUGAUUUUGUUAUGAUUUAGAACUAAAGACUCUUUACGCAAGUUUUGGGAUUGAGAUUCGAGGUUCUUGGGAAGUAAACCCCGUGAUGACCCUGUUUACUCAGUCAAUGGUAAGUCGAGUUGUUACAGAAAGAGAGGAGGGCUUUUGGGUGUUGUUUUUGUUUUAUCAAUUUAAAAGAAAAGGAAAAUAGUAGAGGAAUUAAAUUGAGAAUAUUUUAUGCCAUGUGUAUUUAAGAUCAUUCUCGCACUAGUAAUUCUCUUAAAUUCACUCGUCUUAAAUUAUUAUUUCUCAAAUGUUACAAAAAAUAAGGUAAUUAGGUAUUAAUCUUUAAUAAGUUGGACUUAAAAUACAUCUCUCAACUAGACAAUCUUUCAGAAGACUAGCUGUUUAUUUUAAUGGUUUUAUUUGCCAUGUAGGAAAAUACUAGAAUAUCUCCAAGGAAAAUAAAAUAUAUCAAAAUAUCUUUCUAAUAUUGAGGAUAUUAAGGUUAUUGUGUUU